AGAAUUGGCUCUCUCGAAAUGGUUCUGUAUAUCGUUCUUUGAAGCUCUGUAUGCUAAGUCCCUUAGUCAAUUGAGUUCGACCUUAACAUUUGUUUGACCUUAAUCUGAUCUUAGUAUCUAGUAUGUUACCUUCUUCACACAGAAUCGCCGUAAAAAUGACGCUAGCAAAGUUCAGCUGAUAAACCGGUUUGUAAUUCACUAAUACGCAUGCGUAGGGAAUAUCUUCAAAACUCUUCGGAAAAAAAACGAAAAAACUUUUGUGUUAUCUUAUUCACACUUAGCAGAAAGUGCUGGUUUGAGAACGUGACCGAUUGGAGGGAGGAGAGGAGAUAAUGGUGAUCCACAGUGGUAAAUAGGAGUAAAACUCUCGUUGAGCUCUCAAAGGGUAUCGAUUAUCGUUGUUUCUCCCACAAGUGAGCGGGUGAUACGUGUGUGACAAUUAAUUACUUCAUUCUUCCUCAAGGCAAAUCGGUCCCGUCGGUAUUGGUGCACCACUGACGGGGCUCGGCAGUGACCGGCUGAUAGCUGGAGAGUUUAAGUAGUCAUGUCCAUCCCAGGAAGUGGAGGAAUGACAGACACAGAUAUAGUUAUGAUGCGCAGUGAAGUUGCUUACCGUGAGCUCCAUGGCCGGUUGCUGUCGUUAUUUUGUUCCGCUACUGAACAAUUUUGGUCAGUUGAUUCCUUUUAGCUUCUUUUUCGCUCAGUUGAUUAGUUCGGAGAGCACGAAAGAAGCGCAAGACUUUCUCGAGUUGCAACUGUGAGCAGCUCGAUCUGGCUUCUUUAGUGCUCCCCAAACUUCCCAAGAAAAUUACUAAGAACUUCAAUAAUGAUGCACAGGUGAAAGCAUGGAUCAAUUGUUUCAUAAGAUGUCAAGAUUGCCAACUGAAUUGCGUCACAAAAACACACACGAAAAAUGAUGUUAUUCUUCACGAGGAAUGAUACCGGUUUCGCCCCAUGGCGAGUUCGCCCCCACUAUAAAUUUUCUAUUUCGAGUUAGAUUGAGUUAUUUCCUUGCACGACUGAUGGUACAAGCUGAUGUGGGAUGACGGUGUUUGAACUGUCGGGGUACGAUACGGCAGUUAUUUUUUGUUUAUCUUGUAGUUGUGCUUUUUUUGUCAUCAAAAUUGCUGUGCUCUAACUGUCUGUACUCUAAAUCAUAUCACGUGGGAAGCCCUUAUCGUCACCAGUCUCUGGCUUUCAAAAUGGCGGUUUUACAUGUAGAGUGUGUUUUUCGUCUUUCUUGCUAUAAAGAACUGCCUUAUCGUGGCGUUGAGGUCUUUUUACACUUCUUUCAGGGGAUAAAAAGAACAAGCAAGUCCUAAUUCAAGUUCUUGCUUAAUCAUGGAUGUGAUGGUGCUGUCCAAGAAGAAAGCAAGUUGUUAGAGACAUAGAUCACAGGAUCAAGGACCGGGGACCCAGGACCGGGAAACCAGGACAGAGGACCCAGGACAGAAGACCUUGGACAGAGGACCCAGGACAGAGGACCCAGGACAGUGGACCCAGGACAGAGGACCUGGGACAGAGGACUCAGGACAGAUUACCCAAGACAGACAACCCAAGACUCAGAACAGAGGAUCAAGGAGCAAGGAUAGGACUGAGGACUGACAACUGGGGAUCAAGGAUUAAAGCAAGCCUUGAAUGAAGAGUUUUCAUAAGUUGAAUUAUAGAUAUAUUAAGGUAUGUAAGAUAUUACUGGUAGCAGAGAUGGCAUAGUGCACCUUGCCCCGAAGGUUUUUCUCCGGGUACUCUGGUUUCCCUCACUCUUGAGAAACCAAUAUUUCCAAAUUCCAAUUAGCAAAAUUGGUGACACAUUGCUGUGGGCCAACUGAGAUGAAAAAUUCUUUGAUUACUCUAAGUAAACAUUUGUAAUACCAGUUUAUUACUCUCUGUUCAUUUCCUAGUUACAUGUGCACAUGUGGUUUUACAGUCUCCUUUGCAGCUUUUAUUUUAGUUAAUGAGCAAAUUGAGAAGAAGCUUUUAAUUAUUUAUUUUCUGUCUUUUUCAAUUAUCUCUUUUUUAAACAUAGGUAAAGGGAAAUUCAAUCAAUCAAUCAAGCAAGCAAUCAAUCAAUCAAUCAAUCAAUCAAUCAACCAAUCAUUUAAUCAAUUAAAAAAUCACUCAAUAACUCAAUAAAUAGUUAAGAUAAAAAGCCCAGGAUAUGCAGCUAACUAAAAUAGCAAUUACCAACCUUUAAAUUUAUAUCUACUUGCAAUUUGAAGAUCUUAAACAUUGUAUUCCAGUACCACUGUGAUGCACAUGUGACUAGAACCCAUGUAAACAGAGUGUUGAACUGACCAGUGUGUUGUGUGGUUGUCGUUCAUUUGCAAAUAAGUGGCUUGCUUGAUACAUUUUCCAUACAAUUCAUUAUAUCAGAGCCGGAAUUAUGCGAAUAGCAAUCGUCACUAAAAAUUAACUGAAAUUCAAUUAUGGUAAAAUCUGUUUCU
Molecule: long non-coding RNA, 2444 nt
Filed under: Orbicella faveolata
Lineage: Eukaryota; Metazoa; Cnidaria; Anthozoa; Scleractinia; Merulinidae
Description: uncharacterized LOC110059429
Source: RNAcentral